Long non-coding RNA from Vespa crabro (European hornet), 1037 nucleotides. RefSeq lists it as uncharacterized. The transcript has 2 exons. The record is from RefSeq and is a predicted model, not a curated record. NCBI's taxonomy places the organism in Eukaryota, Metazoa, Arthropoda, Insecta, Hymenoptera, Vespidae.
UUGUUACUAAAAAUCACCAUCAUCACUUUUAUCGCAGAUUUCAGAGGGCGCCCUAUACGUAAUGUAUUUUUCAAAAAAAAUAUUGAAAAUAGCGUUUACUCCCACAGUGAAUUCAGGUGUAAUUCUUAAUUAAUUUUGAUGAAUAAGGUAUCAUUUUAAAGAUGAAGGUAUAAAUGAGGAGAUAGCCUUUUCGAAUUUUUGGAAAAUUUUUAUUUUCAUUUAUAAAUUAUUCUCAAAAGAACAGUAUUUUUUGACACGAUCUUUUUCAUAGAAAAUAAAACUUAUUCAGAAAUUCUAAAAAGUCAUUUCCUCGUUUAAACGAUGAUAUAAACGAUUAUACAAACAGAAGUAAUGAAAAGUCUUAAAGGUUAACAUGCAUUACACGAUUUGAGCAAAAAGGGAUGAUAUUCGCAUAUGAUUGGAACUUUCCUUCUAUUCGUCUCGUGAAGGACAUAUUAGCGUUACGUGACAAGAGAAGUACACUACAUUACCAGUAUAGAAUUUACAUAGCGAUAAUAUUCAUACAUUAUACCAUAACUCAAGUAAGGUAUGAAUUUUGUAUAUAAUUCAUAAAUAUGUAAUUGAAAUUUAUAAUGAUUGUAUUUGGAAAAUAUAGGAACAUAAAUAUAGAAUGAUUUCAAUAUAAACAUAUGCUUAUAUAUAUGAUAUACAGUAAAUAAUUAUAUUAAUAAUAAUGUGUGAUAUUUAUAUGGUAACUUUUACUAAGACGAUAACUACAAUGAAAAAAAUGACUUCUUAUCCAGUAUUAUGGCACUAAAAUUGUAGAUAGUGGAAGACGGUGAUUUACGCAGCACUAUUUUUUUUGAAAGCAUACAAAUAUUAAAAAAGUAUUUGUGCAGAUAUUUAAAAAUUUAAGUUUCAUAUUUUCCACUAAUCUAGUAUGCAUUUCGAAUAUAGUGUAAAUGGCGAUACCAACAAAAUUUGAAACAGUGGUAUUAAAUAUUAUAAGUUUGUAAUUUCUAUUAGGAAAAAAUAAAAAUAUUCUAAGUGUCAUUUAAAAUAAACUUUUCAGAGUU